GUUGAAUUAAAUUAAAACCAGGCCGAACCAGAACCUCAUGUUCCAACACAAAACCGGGCCAAACCGAAUUAGCAGCCAGGUGUAAUUACAGGCAUGUCCUAAACAGCAUACAAAUAGACAAGAGAUAAGACUACUGACUCUUAACUAUUUUAAGACCGAAAUUUGUGUUUGUAUUGUUAAUGAGAGAGAACAUGAAACUUUCAACACUAUAGUACAUAUUUAAUAUCAUUUGGUGACAGUUCAAGAAGUUAACUUACAGAACUAAUUGCCCUAUAUUUGUAGGCAUGUAAACCAAUGAAAUUAAAUAACUGAUAAAAGAUGACAAAGUUGAUUUGCAGGACAUCUAGAUCUCUAUGCUGUAGUCAUGAAGUUUUCCCUCAACACGAGCUAUGAGUUUGCCAAUCAGCUCCAGGAACGGCCACCACCAUAACCCCUCCCACGAUCUCGGAAACCCCCAUGACCUGACGGUGGAGGAGGGGCACCACGACCCAUUGCAGCCAAUUCUGGACUGACCCUCUGCCUAGCUUCCUCAAGUAUAGUGAUAAGUUCCUUUGCAAAUCUGGCAUUCCCAGCUGUGAAGAAAGUGUAGGCUGUUCCUUUUGCUCCAGCUCUUCCAGUCCGACCAAUUCGGUGAACAUAAUCCUCAAGGGAUCCAGGAAAAUCAUAAUUGAUCACAUAUUUUACAUCCUUCACAUCUAAUCCACGCGCAGCAACAUCUGUUGCAGUCAUUAUGGGACUUUUGCCAGCUUUAAAUUCUGAGAGGACCCAAUCCCUUUCUGCUUGACUUUUGUCUCCAUGAAUUGAGAGAGCAGGCCAACCAUCCAUGCGAAGCUGCCGAGUGAUCUGGUCACAACCCUUCUUAGUAUCCAUAAAAAUAAGAAUACGGCUGCCAUCCAUGAUAUCCUCCAGCAACUUCACCAGCUUGUUAUAUUUCUGAUUUUCAGAAACAAUGUCAACGUGUUGGCGUAUUGCAUGAUUAGCUUUUAAAUCUGCAGAUCCUAUUAUCACUUUAUAUGGGUUGUAAAGAAAUUGCCUUGCCAGUUGUUCGACCUCUUUAGGCCAAGUGGCACUCCAGUACAAAGUUUGACGAUCUGCGCGAAUCUGAGAAACAAUUUUGCGUAUCUGAGGCUCAAAUCCCAUGUCUAGCAUCCGAUCUGCCUCAUCCAACACUAAGUAAGUAACCCUCCGCAAAUUUGUAUGAUGUGAUUCCAACAUAUCAAUCAACCUUCCUGGUGUAGCAAUAACAAUUUCAACUCCUUUCUGGAGAUCGCGCACCUGAGGUCCCUUUGGAACACCACCAUAUAUGCAUGUAUUUUUUAUUCUUGAUGAUGCACCAAAUUUUGCAGCUUCUUGUUGUAUCUGAACAGCAAGUUCCCGCGUAGGAGCUAAAACUAAAACAAUUGGACCAUCCCCAGGCGCUAAAAUUGGCUGGGCAUUAACAUGGACAAUUGCAGGCAAUAAGUAGGCAAGGGUCUUCCCUGAUCCUGUUUCAGCGAUACCAAUGAGGUCACGACCCUUCAAAGCCAUUGGCCACCCUUGAGCUUGUAUAGGAGUAGGUUCGACGAAGCCAGCUUUUGUUAUUUCUUGCAAAACAUAAUCCGGAAACCCUGUGUCGCGAAAACUCUUGACAGGUUUUGGAACAUCACGGCCCUCUACAGUAAUUUCUCUCCGUUGCCUGUAUUCCUCAACCUCCCUCUCUGACAUUGCGGCCACUGAUGGUGACUCAAUGUAGAAAUUCUUCUCAAAUGGAGUCAACCCAUCCAAAUCAGAUUUCCUCGGUGAGUCAGCGCGGCUAUAGUCCCUCCUCUCGGCUGAGGACCGCGCUGAGCCAGUAUAGCCCGAAGCCCCACCAAAACCUGAGUCACUUCUCCGGUCACGAUAAGAAGUGGGGUCGCCGGAACGGCUAUCGUAUCGGCUCAUCGUUUCGAUUUGGCGCUACUCACUGCGGAUUCUGACAGUCACAGACAAAUUAGUGGUGAUAAAAGAAUGGGUUCUCUUCCUUUCUUGGGCUUUUAGGGUUUUACCUUUUAACACAGAGACGACCCCCACCUAUUGCUCUCGCUCUCCCCCUUUU
RNAcentral lists this unclassified non-coding RNA (2074 nucleotides) under Hevea brasiliensis (rubber tree). The record is from RNAcentral. Lineage: Eukaryota; Viridiplantae; Streptophyta; Magnoliopsida; Malpighiales; Euphorbiaceae.